UACGUAGGGGGCAAGCGUUGUCCGGAAUUAUUGGGCGUAAAGAGCUCGUAGGCGGUCCAUUAAGUCGGAAGUGAAAUCUCAGGGCUCAACCCUGAAAUUGCUUACGAUACUGGUGGACUUGAGGCAGGUAGGGGAAGGUGGAAUUCCUGGUGUAGCGGUGAAAUGCGCAGAUAUCAGGAGGAACACCAGUGGCGAAGGCGGCCUUCUGGGCCUGUUCUGACGCUGAGGAGCGAAAGCGUGGGGAGCAAACAGG
Molecule: ribosomal RNA, 253 nt
Filed under: uncultured bacterium
Lineage: Bacteria
Description: partial 16S ribosomal RNA
Rfam family: Bacterial small subunit ribosomal RNA
Source: RNAcentral